GUGGGGAAUCUUCCGCAAUGGACGAAAGUCUGACGGAGCAACGCCGCGUGAGUGAUGAAGGUCUUCGGAUUGUAAAGCUCUGUUAAUCGGGACGAAAGAGCCUAGUGUGAAUAAUGCUAGGAAGUGACGGUACCGGAAUAGAAAGCCACGGCUAACUACGUGCCAGCAGCCGCGGUAAUACGUAGGUGGCAAGCGAUGUCCGGAAUUAUUGGGCGUAAAGCGCGCGCAGGCGGAUCUGCCAGUCUGUCUUAAAAGUUCGGGGCUUAACCCCGUGAUGGGAUGGAAACUACAGAUCUAGAGUAUCGGAGAGGAAAGUGGAAUUCCUAGUGUAGCGGUGAAAUGCGUAGAUAUUAGGAAGAACACCAGUGGCGAAGGCGACUUUCUGGACGAAGACUGACGCUGAGGCGCGAAAGACAGGGGAGCGAACGGGAUUAGAUACCCUGGUAGUCC
RNAcentral lists this ribosomal RNA (450 nucleotides) under uncultured bacterium. Its description in RNAcentral is "partial 16S ribosomal RNA". It matches the Rfam family "Bacterial small subunit ribosomal RNA", at positions 354 to 796 of the family's 1533-position model. The record is from RNAcentral.